RNAcentral lists this ribosomal RNA (429 nucleotides) under Gemmatimonadota bacterium. RNAcentral's name for it is "Gemmatimonadetes bacterium partial 16S ribosomal RNA". It matches the Rfam family "Bacterial small subunit ribosomal RNA", at positions 355 to 776 of the family's 1533-position model. Lineage: Bacteria; Pseudomonadati; Gemmatimonadota. The record is from RNAcentral.
UAGGGAAUCUUCGGCAAUGGACGAAAGUCUGACCGAGCAACGCCGCGUGAGUGAAGAAGGUUUUCGGAUCGUAAAACUCUGUUGUUAGAGAAGAACAAGGACGUUAGUAACUGAACGUCCCCUGACGGUAUCUAACCAGAAAGCCACGGCUAACUACGUGCCAGCAGCCGCGGUAAUACGUAGGUGGCAAGCGUUGUCCGGAUUUAUUGGGCGUAAAGCGAGCGCAGGCGGUUUCUUAAGUCGGAUGUGAAAGCCCCCGGCUCAACCGGGGAGGGUCAUUGGAAACAGGGAGACUUGAGUGCAGAAGAGGGGAGUGGAAUUCCAUGUGUAGCGGUGAAAUGCGUAGAUAUAUGGAGGAACACCAGUGGCGAAGGCGGCUCUCUGGUCUGUAACUGACGCUGAGGCUCGAAAGCGUGGGGAGCAAACAGG